UACGAAGGGGGCUAGCGUUGCUCGGAAUACUGGGCGUAAAGCGCACGUAGGCGGUCUUUUAAGUCGGGGGUGAAAUCCUGGAGCUCAACUCCAGAACUGCCUUCGAUACUGGAAGACUUGAGUCCGGGAGAGGUGAGUGGAACUGCGAGUGUAGAGGUGAAAUUCGUAGAUAUUCGCAAGAACACCAGUGGCGAAGGCGGCUCACUGGCCCGGUACUGACGCUGAGGUGCGAAAGCGUGGGGAGCAAACAGG
This 252-nucleotide ribosomal RNA is filed under the name uncultured bacterium. Its description in RNAcentral is "partial 16S ribosomal RNA". It matches the Rfam family "Bacterial small subunit ribosomal RNA", at positions 524 to 776 of the family's 1533-position model. The record is from RNAcentral.